RNAcentral lists this ribosomal RNA (1269 nucleotides) under Clostridioides difficile. RNAcentral's name for it is "bacterial LSU rRNA". It matches the Rfam family "Bacterial large subunit ribosomal RNA", at positions 1325 to 2602 of the family's 2925-position model. Lineage: Bacteria; Bacillati; Bacillota; Clostridia; Peptostreptococcales; Peptostreptococcaceae. The record is from RNAcentral.
GAAUCCCACAGGCCGUAAACCCAAGGUUUCCAGGGGAAGGUUCGUCCGCCCUGGGUUAGUCGGGACCUAAGCUGAGGCCGAAAGGCGUAGGUGAUGGACAACAGGUUGAUAUUCCUGUACUACCGAUAACCGUUUGAGAGAAGGGAUGACACAGUAGGAUAAGCUAAGCACACUGUUGGUUAUGUGUGCCCAAGCAUUGAGGCAGUCAAAGUAGGCAAAUCCGCUUUGAUAAUGCUGGGAUGUGAUGGGGAGCGAAAUUUAGUAGCGAAGUAGCUGAUUUCACACUGUCAAGAAAAGUCUCUAUCGAGGUUAAAGGUACCCGUACCGCAAACCGACACAGGUGGGUGAGGAGAGUAUCCUAAGGCCAGCGAGAGAACUGUUGUUAAGGAACUCGGCAAAAUGACCCCGUAACUUAGGGAUAAGGGGUGCCACCAUCAGGUGGCCGCAGAGAAUAGGCCCAAGCGACUGUUUACCAAAAACAUAGGUUUCUGCUAAGUCGCAAGACGAUGUAUAGGAGCUGACGCCUGCCCGGUGCUGGAAGGUUAAGGGGAUCUGUUAGAGCAAUCGAAGCAGUGAACUUAAGCCCCAGUAAACGGCGGCCGUAACUAUAACGGUCCUAAGGUAGCGAAAUUCCUUGUCGGGUAAGUUCCGACCCGCACGAAAGGCGUAACGAUUUGGGCACUGUCUCAACAACAGACUCGGUGAAAUUGUAAUUCCGGUGAAGAUGCCGGAUACCUGCGACAGGACGGAAAGACCCCAUGGAGCUUUACUGUAGCUUGACAUUGGGUCUUGGUACUACAUGUACAGGAUAGGUGGGAGGCUUUGAAACCAGGACGCCAGUUUUGGCGGAGCCAUCCUUGGGAUACCACCCUUGUAGUACUGGGACUCUAACCAUAGGCCAUGAAUCUGGUCUUGGGACACUGUCAGGUGGGCAGUUUGACUGGGGCGGUCGCCUCCCAAAAGGUAACGGAGGCGCUCAAAGGUUCUCUCAGUACGGUCGGAAAUCGUACGUAGAGUGUAAAGGCAAAAGAGAGCUUGAUUGCAAGACAUACAGGUCGAGCAAGGAUGAAAAUCGGACUUAGUGAUCCGGUGGUUCUGCGUGGAAGGGCCAUCGCUCAACGGAUAAAAGCUACCCUGGGGAUAACAGGCUUAUCUCCCCCAAGAGUCCACAUCGACGGGGAGGUUUGGCACCUCGAUGUCGGCUCAUCACAUCCUGGGGCUGUAGUAGGUCCCAAGGGUUGGGCUGUUCGCCCAUUAAAGUGGUACGCG